GAUGAACGCUGACAGAAUGCUUAACACAUGCAAGUCUUUGGCGAAUCUGUGCUUGCACAGGCUAGCCAAGGCGGACGGGUGAGUAACGCGUAAAGAACUUGCCCUGCAGACAGGGAUAACAGACGGAAACGACUGAUAACACCUGAUACAGUUGCCGGCACGCAUGUGCCUGGCAAUGAAAAGAGAUGCUGCAGGAGAGCUUUGCGUCCUAUUAGCUUGUUGGUGAGGUGACGGCUCACCAAGGCGAUGAUAGGUAGCCGGCCUGAGAGGGUGAACGGCCACAAGGGGACUGAGAUACGGCCCUUACUCCUACGGGAGGAGGCAGUGGGGAAUAUUGGACAAUGGGGGCAACCCUGAUCCAGCAAUUCUGUGUGCACGAAGAAGGUUUUCGGAUUGUAAAGUGCUUUCAGCAGGGAAGAAGAAAGUGACGGUACCUGCAGAAGAAGCGACGGCUAAAUACGUG
This 463-nucleotide ribosomal RNA is filed under the name uncultured bacterium. RNAcentral describes it as "partial 16S ribosomal RNA". It matches the Rfam family "Bacterial small subunit ribosomal RNA", at positions 28 to 507 of the family's 1533-position model. The record is from RNAcentral.